CGGGAGUUAGCUCAGCUUGGUAGAGCACUUGGUUUGGGACCAAGGGGCCGCAGGUUCAAAUCCUGUACUCCCGA
This 74-nucleotide transfer RNA is filed under the name Dolosicoccus paucivorans. It matches the Rfam family "tRNA". Rfam says of the family: Transfer RNA (tRNA) molecules are approximately 80 nucleotides in length. Their secondary structure includes four short double-helical elements and three loops (D, anti-codon, and T loops). Further hydrogen bonds mediate the characteristic L-shaped molecular structure. tRNAs have two regions of fundamental functional importance: the anti-codon, which is responsible for specific mRNA codon recognition, and the 3' end, to which the tRNAs corresponding amino acid is attached (by aminoacyl-tRNA synthetases). tRNAs cope with the degeneracy of the genetic code in two manners: having more than one tRNA (with a specific anti-codon) for a particular amino acid; and 'wobble' base-pairing, i.e. permitting non-standard base-pairing at the 3rd anti-codon position. Lineage: Bacteria; Bacillati; Bacillota; Bacilli; Lactobacillales; Aerococcaceae. The record is from Rfam by way of RNAcentral.